GUAGUCUCGCACAGAUGCAUAUCAAUAAGCGGAGGAAAAGAAACUAACAAGGAUUCCCCUAGUAACGGCGAGUGAAGCGGGAAGAGCUCAAAUUUGAAAUCUUAAAGGGUUACCCUUUACGAAUUGUAGUUUAAAGAAGUGUUUUCUGUUGAGGUUUUGGUAAAAGUUCUUUGGAAUAGGACAUCAUAGAGGGUGAGAAUCCCGUAUUUGACCUUUACUUUCAACUUUGUGAUACACUUUCAAAGAGUCGGAUUGUUUGGGAAUGCUAGUCCAAAAUGGGUGGUAAAUUUCAUCUAAAGCUAAAUAUUGGCGAGAGACCGAUAGCGAACAAGUACCGUGAGGGAAGAUGAAAAGAACUUUGAAAAGAGAGUUAAACAGUACGUGAAAUUGUCAAAAGGGAAGCGUUUGACACCAGUGUUGUUUUUCUGAAAAUCAAUUAAAGAACUGUUUAUGCUAAGCUGUUUAGACUUUAUCAGCUAACUGUUUAGUUUUGAGCUUUUCUUUAAUGCACUUUUCAGUUAACAAGUCAACAUCAAUUUCUUUUGCUGUAAAAAAGCUUGAGGAAGGUGGCUUGAGAUUCGUCUUAAGUGUUUAUAGCCUCUUGCCUAUGCAGUCGGAGAGAUUGAGGUCUGCAGCGUAGAUCCUUCGGGGCUAAAUGCAUUUGUGCUAAGUUAUAGCAUUUUAUAGACAACUUGUUGACUAUGAUUUGUCUUGUAGCUUACUCGCUUAUGUUAUUUUACCUACGCUUAGGAUGUUGAAGACUCUACAGAGAUA
RNAcentral lists this ribosomal RNA (774 nucleotides) under uncultured Neocallimastigales. RNAcentral's name for it is "partial large subunit ribosomal RNA". It matches the Rfam family "Eukaryotic large subunit ribosomal RNA", at positions 24 to 633 of the family's 3401-position model. The record is from RNAcentral. Lineage: Eukaryota; Fungi; Neocallimastigomycota; Neocallimastigomycetes; Neocallimastigales.